CGGGAGGCAGCAGUGGGGAAUAUUGCGCAAUGGGGGAAACCCUGACGCAGCGACGCCGCGUGGAGGAUGAAGAUCUUCGGGUUGUAAACUCCUUUUCUCAGGGAAAAUAAUGAUGGUACCUGAGGAAUAAGCCACGGCUAACUCUGUGCCAGCAGCCGCGGUA
Molecule: ribosomal RNA, 163 nt
Filed under: Falsiroseomonas frigidaquae
Lineage: Bacteria; Pseudomonadati; Pseudomonadota; Alphaproteobacteria; Acetobacterales; Roseomonadaceae
Description: Roseomonas frigidaquae partial 16S ribosomal RNA
Rfam family: Bacterial small subunit ribosomal RNA
Source: RNAcentral